Molecule: transfer RNA, 75 nt
Filed under: Aquamicrobium defluvii
Lineage: Bacteria; Pseudomonadati; Pseudomonadota; Alphaproteobacteria; Hyphomicrobiales; Phyllobacteriaceae
Also listed under: 7 other names
Description: tRNA-Lys
Rfam family: tRNA
About the family: Transfer RNA (tRNA) molecules are approximately 80 nucleotides in length. Their secondary structure includes four short double-helical elements and three loops (D, anti-codon, and T loops). Further hydrogen bonds mediate the characteristic L-shaped molecular structure. tRNAs have two regions of fundamental functional importance: the anti-codon, which is responsible for specific mRNA codon recognition, and the 3' end, to which the tRNAs corresponding amino acid is attached (by aminoacyl-tRNA synthetases). tRNAs cope with the degeneracy of the genetic code in two manners: having more than one tRNA (with a specific anti-codon) for a particular amino acid; and 'wobble' base-pairing, i.e. permitting non-standard base-pairing at the 3rd anti-codon position.
Source: RNAcentral
GGGCCGGUAGCUCAGCGGUAGAGCACGUGACUUUUAAUCAUGUGGUCGUGGGUUCGAUCCCCACCCGGCUCACCA